AAAAGACUUAGUCCUAACCUUACUAUUGGUUUUUGCUAGACAUAUACAUGCAAGUAUCCGCACCCCAGUGAAAAUGCCCCCAAACCUUCAUUCACCCAUCAAGCAAAAGGAGCAGGUAUCAGGCACACUCAACACCUAGCCCAAGACGCCUUGCUAAGCCACACCCCCACGGGUAUUCAGCAGUAAUUAACCUUAAGCAAUAAGUGUAAACUUGACUUAGCCAUAGCAACCCUCAGGGUUGGUAAAUCUUGUGCCAGCCACCGCGGUCAUACAAGAAACCCAAAUCAAUAGCCCAAUCGGCGUAAAGAGUGGCCAUAUGUUAUCUACAUUGACUAAGAUCAAAAUGAAACCAAGCUGUCAUAAGCCCAAGAUUCACCUAAGCCCGACCCAAAAUUAUCUUACCCACAUGAUUGAUUUUAACCCACGAAAGCCAGGGCACAAACUGGGAUUAGAUACCCCACUAUGCCCGGCCCUAAAUCUAGAUACCACCAUACUUAUGUAUCCGCCCGAGAACUACGAGCACAAACGCUUAAAACUCUAAGGACUUGGCGGUGCCCCAAACCCACCUAGAGGAGCCUGUUCUAUAACCGAUAAUCCACGAUUCACCCAACCAUUCCUUGCCAAUGCAGCCUACAUACCGCCGUCGCCAGCCCACCUCCAAUGAAAGAACAACAGUGAGCUCAACAGUUUCUCCCCGCUAACAAGACAGGUCAAGGUAUAGCCAAUGGAAUGGAAGAAAUGGGCUACAUUUUCUAACAUAGAAUAAACGAAAAAGGACAUGAAACCGGUCCUUAGAAGGAGGAUUUAGCAGUAAAGUAGGACCAUAUAACCCCAAGCCUACUUUAAGACGGCCCUGAGGCACGUACAUACCGCCCGUCACCCUCUUCAAAGGCUGCCAAUACUAAUAAAUAAUACCACACCCAUAGGCCAAAGAUGAGGUAAGUCGUAACAAGGUAAGUGUACCGGAAGGUGCACUUAGACUAC
RNAcentral lists this non-coding RNA (984 nucleotides) under Ammoperdix heyi. RNAcentral describes it as "12S ribosomal RNA". It matches the Rfam family "Bacterial small subunit ribosomal RNA". The record is from RNAcentral. Lineage: Eukaryota; Metazoa; Chordata; Aves; Galliformes; Phasianidae.